This 68-nucleotide transfer RNA is filed under the name marine eukaryotic metagenome. It matches the Rfam family "tRNA". Rfam says of the family: Transfer RNA (tRNA) molecules are approximately 80 nucleotides in length. Their secondary structure includes four short double-helical elements and three loops (D, anti-codon, and T loops). The record is from RNAcentral.
CGAGGUAGCUCAGCUGGUAGAGCAGCUGAUUCGUAAUCAGCAGGUCGGGAGUUCGAAUCUCCUCCUCG